UUGAACGCUGGCGGCAGGCCUAACACCUGCAAGUCGAACGGUAACAGAAAGCAGCUUGCUGCUUUGCUGACUAGUGGCGGACGGGUGAGUAAUGUCUGGGAAACUGCCUGAUGGAGGGGGAUAACUACUGGAAACGGUAGCUAAUACCGCAUAACGUCGCAAGACCAAAGAGGGGGACCUUCGGGCCUCUUGCCAUCGGAUGUGCCCAGAUGGGAUUAGCUAGUAGGUGGGGUAAAGGCUCACCUAGGCGACGAUCCCUAGCUGGUCUGAGAGGAUGACCAGCCACACUGGAACUGAGACACGGUCCAGACUCCUACGGGAGGCAGCAGUGGGGAAUAUUGCACAAUGGGCGCAAGCCUGAUGCAGCCAUGCCGCGUGUAUGAAGAAGGCCUUCGGGUUGUAAAGUACUUUCAGCGGGGAGGAAGGGAGUAAAGUUAAUACCUUUGCUCAUUGACGUUACCCGCAGAAGAAGCACCGGCUAACUCCGUG
RNAcentral lists this ribosomal RNA (489 nucleotides) under uncultured bacterium. RNAcentral describes it as "partial 16S ribosomal RNA". It matches the Rfam family "Bacterial small subunit ribosomal RNA", at positions 30 to 507 of the family's 1533-position model. The record is from RNAcentral.